GAUGAACGCUGGCGGCGUGCCUAAUACAUGCAAGUCGAGCGAACAGACGAGGAGCUUGCUCCUCUGACGUUAGCGGCGGACGGGUGAGUAACACGUGGAUAACCUACCUAUAAGACUGGGAUAACUUCGGGAAACCGGAGCUAAUACCGGAUAAUAUAUUGAACCGCAUGGUUCAAUAGUGAAAGACGGUUUUGCUGUCACUUAUAGAUGGAUCCGCGCCGCAUUAGCUAGUUGGUAAGGUAACGGCUUACCAAGGCGACGAUGCGUAGCCGACCUGAGAGGGGGAUGGGCCCACCUGGACCGGAGAAAGGGCCAAGACCCCUAGGGGGGGCAGCGGUGGGAAUUUUUCCGCAAGGGGCGAAAGCCUGACGGAGCAACGCCGGGGGAGUGAUGAAGGUCUUCGGUUCGUAAAACGCUGUUAUUGGGGAAGAACAAAUGUGUAAGUAACAAGGCACGUCUGGCCGGUACCUAAUAAGAAGGCCCCGCCUACUACCGU
RNAcentral lists this ribosomal RNA (496 nucleotides) under uncultured bacterium. RNAcentral describes it as "partial 16S ribosomal RNA". It matches the Rfam family "Bacterial small subunit ribosomal RNA", at positions 28 to 506 of the family's 1533-position model. The record is from RNAcentral.